AGUGAACGCUGGCGGUAGGCCUAACACAUGCAAGUAGAACGGCAGCACAGUAAGAGCUUGCUCUUACGGGUGGCGAGUGGCGGACGGGUGAGGAAUACAUCGGAAUCUACUUUUUCGUGGGGGAUAACGUAGGGAAACUUACGCUAAUACCGCAUACGACCUACGGGUGAAAGCAGGGGAUCUUCGGACCUUGCGCGAUUGAAUGAGCCGAUGUCGGAUUAGCUAGUUGGCGGGGUAAAGGCCCACCAAGGCGACGAUCCGUAGCUGGUCUGAGAGGAUGAUCAGCCACACUGGAACUGAGACACGGUCCAGACUCCUACGGGAGGCAGCAGUGGGGAAUAUUGGACAACGGGCGCAAGCCUGAUCCAGCCAUACCGCGUGGGUGAAGAAGGCCUUCGGGUUGUAAAGCCCUUUUGUUGGGAAAGAAAAGCAGCAGGUUAAUACCCCGCUGUUCUGACGGUACCCAAAGAAUAAGCACCGGCUAACUUCGUG
RNAcentral lists this ribosomal RNA (492 nucleotides) under uncultured bacterium. RNAcentral describes it as "partial 16S ribosomal RNA". It matches the Rfam family "Bacterial small subunit ribosomal RNA", at positions 29 to 507 of the family's 1533-position model. The record is from RNAcentral.